This is a long non-coding RNA of Culex pipiens pallens (northern house mosquito), 1559 nucleotides long. RefSeq lists it as uncharacterized. Lineage: Eukaryota; Metazoa; Arthropoda; Insecta; Diptera; Culicidae. The transcript has 3 exons. The record is from RefSeq and is a predicted model, not a curated record.
UUUUCAGUAAUUCAGUUCAAGAUCAGCAGAAGAUUUAUGCUGUUGUUUGAUAAUUUUUUUGAAGUUGCGGUUUUUUGAUAUCCUUUCCUCAUGUAAUAUAAUUUUUUAGCUCUUCUUUAUUCUUGUACAUAUUUUUUGCCGAAGUUUUGUAGAUAUUAUUAUAGUUUCAUUUCAAUGAAUUUUAUAUGAAGUUUUGGAUUUUCUUAGUAGCUUCUGCUGGAGACCGGAGUCUAAACACGUUGAUGGUCUAGUAGCAGGCGUAGUUUUUGAAAUUACGUGCUGGAAACAGAGAGUGAGCCACUGGCGAUGACCCUAUAUGACCCCGGAAGCGAAAUGUUAUUCAGAAAUUCAGAUAAAUUUCAGCUUCGAAAAUUUGAUUGGUUUUGGGUAAGAAAUUUUCAAUUUCAGUUCCAAACCAAUCAAAUUUUCGAAAAUUUAGUAGGGAAUGAUGUAGCAGUACCAUCAGUACAACCCUCUGCCGUAAGAACGGCAGACAGAAAAGAUGAAUUCGCCAAUAUUUUAGCGUGCCAUAAUUAUGGUUGGCUUAUCUUCUCGCGCUACGCCUCGACCUAAUUAUGUCAUGGGUUGAGCGCCACCCCUUAUGGGAGACUUUCAAAAUACUUUGCCUUGACCUGUUAUGAGAUCCGCACAAGAAGGAAGAAUCUUCAGAUGCUAAAGUUUGCGACAAGAGCACUUUUUUGACUCGAACGGGAGGUCGAUGCACUCCAGUUCGGCAGUCAGAGAUUGCAAAUUCUUAAGAGAUGCUUCGGCUAAACUCGCGCAAUUAUUGCAAUUGUAAUGUUGCUCGAGUUCUAGACAACCGAAGUUGUUCUAAUUGCACCUCUACUGAGGGUUCUAGGACUUCGACUCGGUCACUUUUACCCUGAUCGUGGAGGAAGCAGGAGUGGUCGAAGGACCGUUUUGGUAUCGUUUAGUGAAGAUCUCGCGGCUAGGUAGUAGGAGUAGGGUAGUGGCGAAUCAGGUGGAAACCCUGACACUCCAGGUGGCAACCGGCAUCAUCCGCAGCAGAGCGACCACUCCAACCGACAACCCAGCGCUUUUGGACUCCACCAAGGGGUCGAAGUUCCGGGGUGAACCCCCAAGCAGCUCGUCCGUCAACACACGAGCUGGGCGGCGUCCGUCAACACACGCCGCGGUCGAACCCUCGACCACCAACCGACCGGACCGGAACGGCCUCGUGGAGGCCUAGGUACACCACCAAGUUCCCGCGCGCAUCCGCGCCGUCGUCGCAACCGACGCCAACAUCGCAGCCUCGUAGCUGCACACCUGUGCGCCCCCGCACACCGGAAGUGAUGCUGAGCACCCGCCGAUAGUGCCAACCCGUCUGCUGUUAGCCGCCGGCGGAAUCAUCUCGCCGUAGCCGAAGCUGUAAGCGCGCCACCACCUGAUCGCCGGAUCGCCAACCAACAACACACGUAAAACCAUGGUCGUGUAAGUACUUUUUCCCCCGACAUGCGCAUGAUCGAUCGUUGGCCAACACUUUUUCUGCCAACCCAGUGGGCAACAUAAGCCACCCCCAUGUUAUGUUGCGUGAUCGC